Molecule: microRNA precursor, 123 nt
Organism: Cavia porcellus (domestic guinea pig)
Lineage: Eukaryota; Metazoa; Chordata; Mammalia; Rodentia; Caviidae
Source: Ensembl
CUUACAUCAUCAAGUCUGAGAGGCUGAGGCUCGUCAACAGCAGCUCCGCUUUGGCUCUGACGGUGGUCUUCGGAGUUUGAAGCCCUUACCGCCAGAUGGCGGGUUGGCGUCGGUGGACGGAAU